RNAcentral lists this long non-coding RNA (744 nucleotides) under Rattus norvegicus (Norway rat). RNAcentral's name for it is "long non-coding RNA NONRATT013923". The record is from RNAcentral. Lineage: Eukaryota; Metazoa; Chordata; Mammalia; Rodentia; Muridae.
AGAGUUCUAUACCUUUGUGUGUGUGUGUGUGUGUGUGUACACAACUAACUUUGUUUAUGGUAUUCAAGAAGGUAGGGAGGGCUCCCUAGGCCCUUCCUGUUAAUAUGGGGUCUGGGAUGGAAUCGUGAGGGAGAUGCUCAGUGUUGGGGGCUGAGUUGGGAUGGGGACUCCUUAGCAACUGAGGGCCUCGCUCUUGCUCUCAGUGUCCUUGCUUGGGUGGUUGGUCCAGGGUUUCUUACUCGUUGGAGGCCGUGUAAGCCAUGAGGUCCACCACUCUUGCUGUAGCUGUAUUCAUUGUCAUACCAGGAAAUGAGCUUUACAAAGUUGUCAUUGAGAGCAAUGCCAGCCCCAGCAUCAAAGGUGGAAGAAUGGGAGUUGCUGUUGAAGUCGCAGGAAACAACCUGGUCCUCAGUGUAGCCCAGGAUGCCCUUUAGUGGGCCCUCGGACGCCUGCUUCACCACCUUCUUGAUGUCAUCAUACUUGGCAGGUUUCUGCAGGCCGCAUGUCAAAUCCACAAUGGAUACAUUGGGGCCAGAAAUAUAGAAGGCCAGGCCUUCCCGUUCAGCUCUGGGAUGAAUUUGCCCACAGCCUUGGCAGCACCAGUGGAUGCAGGGAUGAUGUUCUGGGCUGCCCCACGGCCAUCAUGCCACAGCUUGCCAGAGGGGCCAUCCACAGUCUUCUGAGUGGCAGUGAUGGUAUGGACUGUGGUCAUGAGCCCUUCCACGAUGCCAAAGUUGUCAUGGA